This 73-nucleotide transfer RNA is filed under the name Pelecanus crispus (Dalmatian pelican). It matches the Rfam family "tRNA". Rfam says of the family: Transfer RNA (tRNA) molecules are approximately 80 nucleotides in length. Lineage: Eukaryota; Metazoa; Chordata; Aves; Pelecaniformes; Pelecanidae. The record is from Rfam by way of RNAcentral.
GCAUUUUAGCUCAGUUGGUUAGAGCAUGGUGCUAAUAACACCAAGUUCACAGGUUCAAUCCCUGCUUACUGCA